This 86-nucleotide transfer RNA is filed under the name Rhodovibrio salinarum. RNAcentral describes it as "tRNA-Tyr". It matches the Rfam family "tRNA". From Rfam's summary of the family: Transfer RNA (tRNA) molecules are approximately 80 nucleotides in length. Their secondary structure includes four short double-helical elements and three loops (D, anti-codon, and T loops). The record is from RNAcentral. Lineage: Bacteria; Pseudomonadati; Pseudomonadota; Alphaproteobacteria; Rhodospirillales; Rhodovibrionaceae.
GGGGGAGUUACCCAAGCGGUCAACGGGAGCGGACUGUAAAUCCGCCGGCUCAGCCUUCGGAGGUUCGAAUCCUCCCUCCCCCACCA